RNAcentral lists this ribosomal RNA (253 nucleotides) under uncultured bacterium. Its description in RNAcentral is "partial 16S ribosomal RNA". It matches the Rfam family "Bacterial small subunit ribosomal RNA", at positions 524 to 776 of the family's 1533-position model. The record is from RNAcentral.
UACGAAGGGGACUAGCGUUGUUCGGAAUUACUGGGCGUAAAGCGCACGUAGGCGGAUUUGUAAGUCAGGGGUGAAAUCCCGGGGCUCAACCUCGGAACUGCCUUUGAUACUGCAAAUCUCGAGUCCGAUAGAGGUGGGUGGAAUUCCUAGUGUAGAGGUGAAAUUCGUAGAUAUUAGGAAGAACACCGGUGGCGAAGGCGGCCCACUGGAUCGGUACUGACGCUGAGGUUCGAAAGCGUGGGGAGCAAACAGG